UUUUGGUGAACAUGAUGAUACUGCAUCCGCUACUGUUAGGAAGAGUUUAUCCUCGCCAAUCAUAUGGGCAAAACUGGAGGCGUGGAGCUUGUCAAUCACCACAGGUCCAGGGUUUGCUAGAAUAAGCUGCACAAAAUACAAGUUCUUCUAAGGCAUGGAUGCCACUGGUGUCAAUGUCAGUAACAGCUGUGCAAGAAGUACAAACACACAUCAUCAGAAAAUUAAGCUUCAUAAUAAUGACUAACUAAUAUGGACUUUGCUUG
This is a long non-coding RNA of Ricinus communis (castor bean), 263 nucleotides long. RefSeq lists it as uncharacterized. Lineage: Eukaryota; Viridiplantae; Streptophyta; Magnoliopsida; Malpighiales; Euphorbiaceae. The transcript has 2 exons. The record is from RefSeq and is a predicted model, not a curated record.